This 877-nucleotide ribosomal RNA is filed under the name uncultured Staphylococcus sp. Its description in RNAcentral is "bacterial SSU rRNA". It matches the Rfam family "Bacterial small subunit ribosomal RNA", at positions 28 to 886 of the family's 1533-position model. Lineage: Bacteria; Bacillati; Bacillota; Bacilli; Caryophanales; Staphylococcaceae. The record is from RNAcentral.
GAUGACGCUGGGCGGCGUGCNUAAUACAUGCAAGUCGAGCGAACGGACGAGAAGCUUGCUUCUCUGAUGUUAGCGGCGGACGGGUGAGUAACACGCGGAUAACCUACCUAUAAGACUGGGAUAACUUCGGGAAACCGGAGCUAAUACCGGAUAAUAUUAUGAACCGCAUGGUUCAAAAGUGAAAGACGGUCUUGCUGUCACUUAUAGAUGGAUCCGCGCUGCAUUAGCUAGUUGGUAAGGUAACGGCUUACCAAGGCAACGAUGCAUAGCCGACCUGAGAGGGUGAUCGGCCACACUGGAACUGAGACACGGUCCAGACUCCUACGGGAGGCAGCAGUAGGGAAUCUUCCGCAAUGGGCGAAAGCCUGACGGAGCAACGCCGCGUGAGUGAUGAAGGUCUUCGGAUCGUAAAACUCUGUUAUUAGGGAAGAACAUAUGUGUAAGUAACUGUGCACAUCUUGACGGUACCUAAUCAGAAAGCCACGGCUAACUACGUGCCAGCAGCCGCGGUAAUACGUAGGUGGCAAGCGUUAUCCGGAAUUAUUGGGCGUAAAGCGCGCGUAGGCGGUUUUUUAAGUCUGAUGUGAAAGCCCACGGCUCAACCGUGGAGGGUCAUUGGAAACUGGAAAACUUGAGUGCAGAAGAGGAAAGUGGAAUUCCAUGUGUAGCGGUGAAAUGCGCAGAGAUAUGGAGGAACACCAGUGGCGAAGGCGACUUUCUGGUCUGUAACUGACGCUGAUGUGCGAAAGCGUGGGGAUCAAACAGGAUUAGAUACCCUGGUAGUCCACGCCGUAAACGAUGAGUGCUAAGUGUUAGGGGGUUUCCGCCCCUUAGUGCUGCAGCUAACGCAUUAAGCACUCCGCCUGGGGAGUACGAC